RNAcentral lists this ribosomal RNA (367 nucleotides) under uncultured organism. RNAcentral's name for it is "bacterial LSU rRNA". It matches the Rfam family "Bacterial large subunit ribosomal RNA", at positions 2099 to 2465 of the family's 2925-position model. The record is from RNAcentral.
CUUUACUGUAACUUGAAAUUGAAAUUGGACUUUACUUGCGCAGUAUAGGUGGGAGGCGUUGAAAAUCUUCUUGCGGGAGGAUUGGGGCCAUCAGUGAGAUACCACUCUUGUAAUGUUAGAUUUCUAACUUUGUAUCAUUAUCUGGUCAAAGAACAGUUUCAGGCGGGCAGUUUGACUGGGGCGGUCGCCUCCCAAACGGUAACGGAGGCGCACAAAGGUUUCCUCUGAACGGGUAGAAAUCGUAUCUAGAGUGUAAAGGCAUAAGGAAGCUUGACUGUGAGACUUACAAGUCGAGCAGGGACGAAAGUCGGUCUUAGUGAUCUGACGGUGCUGAGUGGAAAGGCCGUCACUCAACGGAUAAAAGUUA